Molecule: long non-coding RNA, 996 nt
Organism: Ceratitis capitata (Mediterranean fruit fly)
Lineage: Eukaryota; Metazoa; Arthropoda; Insecta; Diptera; Tephritidae
Exons: 3
Source: RefSeq, a predicted model, not a curated record
CGUUAUAUGAAAAUAAGACGGGAGGAAAACUAAACCCUGGCAAAAGAGCUAUACCUGUAAUGUCAACUGAGUCUAUCUUGAAUAUACUGGCCAAGCAACACAAGGAAUUUAUGAUGGAUCUCUGGAAGGUAUUCAACUGCAGCUUCGCACCGGAAAUAUAUGCCAUCGUGUUGAGUAUCGAAGAAGAUUUAUUUUCAUUUCUUGACGCCGUGAGGAGUAAUGCUCGCCUUCUCUUCUCUGCCUGCAAAGGAGGAAAGGCCCGUCGAAAGUGCCCGCUCGGGCAGUGGAGGGGAACAGGCAGGCUCGCCACUGACUGGGACUGCCGGUGUAAUGCCUCUAGACGACUCGUUAGCAAUGGUAAAGGAAAGGCGUGGGACACCUCGGCGAUAUGAACGUAGCAAAAGCAGCUCAAGAGGCUAGCCUCUUCUCAAAAGGAGACCCCUAAGAAGUAAAUAUGCAUGUCAUCGGAGCAACGUGGCAUCCACAAAUCUGCUAAACCACAUAUUUAAAGCAAAUCUGUCAUCCAUGGAUGUCACAGCUUUAAAGCCGGUAAAUCACCCGCUGUUUCGGGUGCCGUUCUCUCUGCCAUUCCUUCACAAAAGGGUGCUGGGGAAGGUAGUCGAACAUUCUGUAGAAACAAGAUCAUAUCAACGUAGAUAGCACUUCAACCUUUAUAAAUAGGCGUAGAAAGGCGGUUUCAAUUGUAUCUAUUUGUAACGGUAGGGCGAUAAAUCUUGUGUCGGAUGUAGUCCUCCCAGGAGGUUUCGUUUCAUGAUCGUGGAUACAUUCAUUUCAAGUCGCAAUUCGAUGGCUUUUAUGUACCAAUGUAUCGUAACAGGGCGAAAAACAACUGGGACAAAUAUGUAAUAGCCUUGGAUCGGUCCCCAAUUAAACUCUUAGUACACGAGUGACGGUCGCGAUAGCUGAGUGGUUAGCAUUGCCAACCAACAUCAAAAAGUCAUCAUGGGAAUGUCCAACAAUAAAUAAAUAAAAGCA